GGGCGGUUGGCGCAGCGGAAGCGCGUCUGACUUACAUUCAGAAGGUCAGAGGUUCGAAUCCUCUACCGCCCA
RNAcentral lists this transfer RNA (72 nucleotides) under Candidatus Omnitrophota bacterium. RNAcentral describes it as "Candidatus Omnitrophica bacterium tRNA-Val". It matches the Rfam family "tRNA". From Rfam's summary of the family: Transfer RNA (tRNA) molecules are approximately 80 nucleotides in length. Their secondary structure includes four short double-helical elements and three loops (D, anti-codon, and T loops). Lineage: Bacteria; Pseudomonadati; Candidatus Omnitrophota. The record is from RNAcentral.